This is a non-coding RNA of Bactrocera oleae (olive fruit fly), 714 nucleotides long. The record is from RefSeq and is a predicted model, not a curated record. Lineage: Eukaryota; Metazoa; Arthropoda; Insecta; Diptera; Tephritidae.
GAGGGCACGCACCAGGAGUGCCCUCCCACACCCUCACCUUUUGACGGGUAAAGUGUAGCUUCAUAGUCUGUCCUGUACCAACAGCUUUAAAGCUUACUCCGAUUCAAUAUAUGUGUCUUCUAUUGUCUUUUCCUACUGCAAUCUACUUUCCAUAAAAGCGGACAGUGUUAGUCGAUUAGGUUCAUAAUAGGAAUAAAUGCACAAUACAUUGAAAAUGGAGAUUUGCUAAUACACACUCUGUCAAUAAAAGAAAUAUUUGGGAAAAAAGCACACCGGCUUGAACUUGUCGAAUAUAAUAAUAGAAGUUUUAAAAUCAUAUGAAAUAAAUAUAGACAGAAGUUACUCCAUAACUGUCGACAAUGCGGCGAAUAUGAUAUGUGUCUAAAACUUUCUUAAUAAAAAUGUUCAAAACUUCCAUCAAAGUCACGGCUGGUAUACUGAAGAAGAAGGAAAUUAAGUCACGCAUCAAGAUUUUGACAUGGAUGACGGAGAUGACGACGAUGGAAACAGUGGACAAAUUUCCGGCGCAACCAUUCCAAAUUCCACGUUUGAAGAAUUUGAGGCAACUUUUUAUAUCAUAACUCCAUAAGUGUCAUUAGGUGUGCUGCACAUACCCUAAAUUGAGCAGUGUCAGAUUUCCUAAAGGAAAUAGAUGAAAUCCGCAGCAAAGUGAAAUCCGUAGUAAAAAAGCUUAGACAUACAUACCUUGUUGAA